Molecule: ribosomal RNA, 492 nt
Filed under: uncultured bacterium
Lineage: Bacteria
Description: partial 16S ribosomal RNA
Rfam family: Bacterial small subunit ribosomal RNA
Source: RNAcentral
AGUGAACGCUGGCGGUAGGCCUAACACAUGCAAGUCGAACGGCAGCACAGUAAGAGCUUGCUCUUACGGGUGGCGAGUGGCGGACGGGUGAGGAAUACAUCGGAAUCUACUUUUUCGUGGGGGAUAACGUAGGGAAACUUACGCUAAUACCGCAUACGACCUACGGGUGAAAGCAGGGGAUCUUCGGACCUUGCGCGAUUGAAUGAGCCUAUGUCGGAUUAGCUAGUUGGCGGGGUAAAGGCCCACCAAGUCGACGAUCCGUAGCUGGUCUGAGAGGAUGAUCAGCCACACUGGAACUGAGACACGGUCCAGACUACUACGGGAGGCAGCAGUGGGGAAUAUUGGACAAUGGGCGCAAGCCUGAUCCAGCCAUACCGCGUGGGUGAAGAAGGCCUUCGGGUUGUAAAGCCCUUUUGUUGGGAAAGAAAAGCAGCAGGUUAAUACCCCGCUGUUCUGACGGUACCCAAAGAAUAAGCACCGGCUAACUUCGUG